This 404-nucleotide ribosomal RNA is filed under the name uncultured bacterium. RNAcentral describes it as "bacterial SSU rRNA". It matches the Rfam family "Bacterial small subunit ribosomal RNA", at positions 355 to 776 of the family's 1533-position model. The record is from RNAcentral.
UGGGGAAUAUUGGACAAUGGGGGCAACCCUGAUCCAGCCAUGCCGCGUGAAUGAUGAAGGCCUUAGGGUUGUAAAGUUCUUUCGCCGGGGAAGAUAAUGACGGUACCCGGAGAAGAAGCCUCGGCUAACUUCGUGCCAGCAGCCGCGGUAAGACGAAGGAGGCUAGCGUUGUUCGGAAUUACUGGGCGUAAAGCGCACGCAGGUGGUGAGAAUAGUUGGAUGUGAAAGCCCGGAGCUUAACUUCGGAAAUGCAUCCAAUACUGUCUCGCUGGAGUCCGGAAGAGGAGAGUGGAAUUCCCAGUGUAGAGGUGAAAUUCGUAGAUAUUGGGAAGAACACCAGUGGCGAAGGCGGCUCUCUGGUCCGGUACUGACACUCAAGUGCGAAAGCGUGGGGAGCAAACAGG